This 69-nucleotide transfer RNA is filed under the name Craugastor crassidigitus (slim-fingered rain frog). Its description in RNAcentral is "tRNA-Trp". It matches the Rfam family "tRNA". From Rfam's summary of the family: Transfer RNA (tRNA) molecules are approximately 80 nucleotides in length. Their secondary structure includes four short double-helical elements and three loops (D, anti-codon, and T loops). Lineage: Eukaryota; Metazoa; Chordata; Amphibia; Anura; Craugastoridae. The record is from RNAcentral.
AGAAAUUUAGGUUAAAUCAAACCGUGAGCCUUCAAAGCUUAAAACAGGAACUGAACCCCCUAACUUCUG